UACGUAGGGUGCGAGCGUUGUCCGGAAUUAUUGGGCGUAAAGGGCUCGUAGGCGGUCUGUCACGUCGGGAGUGAAAACUCGGGGCUUAACCCCGAGCCUGCUUCCGAUACGGGCAGACUAGAGGUAUGCAGGGGAGAAUGGAAUUCCUGGUGUAGCGGUGAAAUGCGCAGAUAUCAGGAGGAACACCGGUGGCGAGGGCGGUUCUCUGGGCAUUACCUGACGCUGAGGAGCGAAAGUGUGGGGAGCGAACAGG
Molecule: ribosomal RNA, 253 nt
Filed under: uncultured bacterium
Lineage: Bacteria
Description: partial 16S ribosomal RNA
Rfam family: Bacterial small subunit ribosomal RNA
Source: RNAcentral